Molecule: ribosomal RNA, 497 nt
Filed under: uncultured bacterium
Lineage: Bacteria
Description: partial 16S ribosomal RNA
Rfam family: Bacterial small subunit ribosomal RNA
Source: RNAcentral
GACGAACGCUGGCGGCGUGCCUAAUACAUGCAAGUCGAGCGAUGAAGACUGGUGCUUGCGCCAAUGUGAAGAGCAGCGAACGGGUGAGUAACUCGUGGGGAAUCUGCCUUUGAGCGGGGGACAACAUUUGGAAACGAAUGCUAAUACCGCAUAACAACUUUAAACAUAAGUUUUAAGUUUGAAAGAUGCAAUUUCAUCACUCAAAGAUGAUCCCGCGUUGUAUUAGCUAGUUGGUGGGGUAAAGGCUCACCAAGGGGAGGUAAGAUAGCCGCCCAGAGAGGGUGCUAGGCAAAACUGGGACGAGAACACGGCCAAAAACCCUGGGGGAGGGAGCCGUAGGGGAUUCUCAGGGAUGGCAGCAAGUGUGAACGAGCGACGCCGCGUGAGAGCAGGAGGUUUUCGGGUCGUAAAACUGUGGUGGUCGAGAAGAACGUUGGGGAGAGUGGAAAGCGCAUCUAGUGACGGUAACUACCGAGAAAGGGACGGCUAACUACGUG